RNAcentral lists this long non-coding RNA (309 nucleotides) under Musa acuminata (dwarf banana). RNAcentral describes it as "long non-coding RNA (MACU_LNC009787)". Lineage: Eukaryota; Viridiplantae; Streptophyta; Magnoliopsida; Zingiberales; Musaceae. The record is from RNAcentral.
AGCGGAUUAAAACUUCGAUUUUAAUCAAAAUCUUUCGUACGUUAAGAACGAAACUUGAGAAAUUUAACUUGAAGGCGUAUUCUUAAAGUUGCGCAGCAAGAGUAAUACAAACUAAAGCAGUAAGAAGAUUUGCAGUAAUGUAAAUGACAAUAAUAAAAAGCAAACCAGAGAUUACGCCAAUUUUUAGAGUGGUUCGGUCAAAUGACCUACUCCACUUGCGAGGCCCCUCUUCGAUGAGGCUCCCACCUUCCACUAGCAAGUCUCUUGAAAUGGAAGGGUAAACACCCCUCUUACAACCUUUUACAAGCA